This 600-nucleotide long non-coding RNA is filed under the name Anser cygnoides (Swan goose). Its description in RNAcentral is "lncRNA (ENSACDG00005004041.1)". The record is from RNAcentral. Lineage: Eukaryota; Metazoa; Chordata; Aves; Anseriformes; Anatidae.
AAUCUGAGAUGUGUCAUCUCGGUGCUGAGGAAUGUGCAUUGGAGGCAGUGCUGGAGGUGACACUGUUGCUCAAGUAUGGCUGGUUAUGGUUAUGAAGCAGGCUGCGCCUGCUUCAUCCGUGGACAGAUGCUCACUCUGCCUGCCCCAACUCUUCUUGCUGCCACAGUUCUCCCUUUGGCUCUGCCAGCAGAAGAUGUCACUGUUCUCAAACCUGCACCCUUCCGAAAACAAGAGAUCUCUGGCCAUCUUCUGAGCCAUACUGAAAAGAAAUCUUUGUUUGUUUAUGAAGUUUCUGGAAGGCUCAGAUUUGUUUUCCUCCCUCCUGCAUCCUGCCAACACUGGAAGUGCCAAAACAUAAAAGAGAGGCAUUUCUCUUGGAGUUGCCAGCUACGGUUGGAAGGAGAAGUGCCAGAAAUCUCAGGAUAAAUCUGCUCCUGAUCUUUCCAGCACAGUCUUACAGAUUGGAGGGAUUUGGAGAGUUCAGCAAAGCAUCUGGGCUGCUGGAUGCCAACAUGGCCUGUGUUCCAGCUGGGGAUGUGUCAUUACUCAUUUUGAUAAGGACAGUGGCACGCAAAGUCAAGACCAGAGGAAGGACUGCUG